AUAUCAAUAAGCAGAGGAAAAGAAACUAACCAGGAUUCCCCCAGUAACGGCGAGAAUAGCUCAAAAUUUUAAAUCUGGCCGGCGUGGUCAGUCCAAGUUGUAAUUUGAAGAAGCGGUUAUCACGUUUUCAUUUGGGUUUAAGUUCCUUGGAACAGGACAUCAGAAGAGGGUGAGAAUCCAUACGAUAUCGUUUCUAAGAGUCGAGUUGUUUGGGAUUGCAGCUCAAAAUGGGUGGUAAAUUCCAUCUAAAGCUAAAUAUUGGCGAGAGACCGAUAGCGCACAAAGUA
RNAcentral lists this ribosomal RNA (287 nucleotides) under uncultured fungus. RNAcentral's name for it is "partial large subunit ribosomal RNA". It matches the Rfam family "Eukaryotic large subunit ribosomal RNA", at positions 40 to 350 of the family's 3401-position model. The record is from RNAcentral. Lineage: Eukaryota; Fungi.